This 403-nucleotide ribosomal RNA is filed under the name Verrucomicrobiota bacterium. Its description in RNAcentral is "Verrucomicrobia bacterium partial 16S ribosomal RNA". It matches the Rfam family "Bacterial small subunit ribosomal RNA", at positions 355 to 776 of the family's 1533-position model. The record is from RNAcentral. Lineage: Bacteria; Pseudomonadati; Verrucomicrobiota.
UGGGGAAUAUUGCACAAUGGGGGAAACCCUGAUGCAGCGACGCCGCGUGAGCGAAGAAGGCUUUCGAGUCGUAAAGCUCUGUCCUAUGAGAAGAUAAUGACGGUAUCAUAGGAGGAAGCCCUGGCUAAAUACGUGCCAGCAGCCGCGGUAAUACGUAUGGGGCGAGCGUUGUCCGGAAUUAUUGGGCGUAAAGGGUACGUAGGCGGUUUUUUAAGUCAGGUGUCAAAGCGUGGAGCUUAACUCCAUUAAGCACUUGAAACUGAAAGACUUGAGUGAAGGAGAGGAAAGUGGAAUUCCUAGUGUAGCGGUGAAAUGCGUAGAUAUUAGGAGGAAUACCGGUGGCGAAGGCGGGUCUCUGGGCCGUUACUGACGCUGAGGAGCGAAAGCGUGGGGAGCGAACAGG